AUCCAGCUGAUGAGUCCCAAAUAGGAUGAAACACGCGUCCUGGAU
This is a non-coding RNA of Schistosoma mansoni, 45 nucleotides long. The record is from Rfam. NCBI's taxonomy places the organism in Eukaryota, Metazoa, Platyhelminthes, Trematoda, Strigeidida, Schistosomatidae.